GGAGAAGAGAUGCAAAUCAGAUCGGAUGUGCUGGAUAGUUGUUUCAGUGUGAUUUUUGGUCCUUAUAGUGUUAUUUGUUGGGAAGACUAUGUGCUUGGUGUUUGGUUAGCGUUUGGGAGCGUUUUCGGUUUUCGGACAAGUAAGAGUAAUGGAAUCGAACGGAGGCAAGAGGCUUGGCAUCAGGAGUGAUCAAGCAAGGCAAAGGUUCAAUGAAGUGUAUAUGUUUUCGGAAAGCUUAAGUGUGGCAAUG
Molecule: long non-coding RNA, 250 nt
Organism: Hibiscus syriacus
Lineage: Eukaryota; Viridiplantae; Streptophyta; Magnoliopsida; Malvales; Malvaceae
Exons: 3
Source: RefSeq, a predicted model, not a curated record